CCUACGGGAGGCUGCAGUGGGGAAUAUUGCACAAUGGGCGCAAGCCUGAUGCAGCCAUGCCGCGUGUGUGAAGAGGGCCUUCGGGUUGUAAAGCACUUUCAGCGGGGAGGAAGGCGUUAAGGUUAAUAACCUUGGCGAUUGACGUUACCCGCAGAAGAAGCACCGGCUAACUCCGUGCCAGCAGCCGCGGUAAUACGGAGGGUGCAAGCGUUAAUCGGAAUUACUGGGCGUAAAGCGCACGCAGGCGGUCUGUCAAGUCGGAUGUGAAAUCCCCGGGCUCAACCUGGGAACUGCAUUCGAAACUGGCAGGCUAGAGGCUUGUAGAGGGGGGUAGAAUGCCAGGUGUAGCGGUGAAAUGCGUAGAGAUCUGGAGGAAUACCGGUGGCGAAGGCGGCCCCCUGGACAAAGACUGACGCUCAGGUGCGAAAGCGUGGGGAGCAAACAGGAUUAGAUACCCGGGUAGUC
Molecule: ribosomal RNA, 465 nt
Filed under: uncultured Klebsiella sp.
Lineage: Bacteria; Pseudomonadati; Pseudomonadota; Gammaproteobacteria; Enterobacterales; Enterobacteriaceae
Description: bacterial SSU rRNA
Rfam family: Bacterial small subunit ribosomal RNA
Source: RNAcentral